UGCUGCAUGGCUGUCGUCAGCUCGUGGUACGUCGAGAAUGUUGGGUUAAGUACCCCGUAACGAGCGUCAAACCCUUGUCCCUUAGUUACCGAAGCACCGGUUAUGGUGGGCGAACGUCUAAGGACGACUGCCGGUAGACAACCGGAGGAAGGUGGGGAUGACGUCAAGUCAUCAUGGCCCUUACGGCCUGGGCUACACACGUGCUACAAUGGUCGGUACAAAGGGUUGCCAAGCCGCGAGGUGGAGCUAAUCCCAUAAAACCGAUCGUAGUCCGGAUCGCAGUCUGCAACUCGACUGCGUGAAGUCGGAAUCGCUAGUAAUCGUGAAUCAGAAUGUCACGGUGAAUACGUUCCCGGGCCUU
This 361-nucleotide ribosomal RNA is filed under the name uncultured Pseudomonas sp. RNAcentral's name for it is "bacterial SSU rRNA". It matches the Rfam family "Bacterial small subunit ribosomal RNA", at positions 1039 to 1382 of the family's 1533-position model. Lineage: Bacteria; Pseudomonadati; Pseudomonadota; Gammaproteobacteria; Pseudomonadales; Pseudomonadaceae. The record is from RNAcentral.